This is a long non-coding RNA of Haemorhous mexicanus (house finch), 8401 nucleotides long. RefSeq lists it as uncharacterized. Lineage: Eukaryota; Metazoa; Chordata; Aves; Passeriformes; Fringillidae. The record is from RefSeq and is a predicted model, not a curated record. The transcript has 6 exons.
AUCAGGCACCAUCUGACUGGAAAAAGUGACAUAAAGCUUCUAACAACACAGAUAUUAUGGAUAGCUUGGCUUUAUGCCGUGCUUUUUAUCAGACAACAUCAUGUAGUUUUAACCUCUGUGUGUGUGAUUUGCUUUUAUGAACCACCAGGAAACAACCACAUGUGGGGAGAAAUGUGACUGUGAUGAAACAGGUCACAGCAGAGUUUUGUUGUGAUAGCACAUCUCUCCAGUUCAUGAAGCUCCAGGCAGCAGAUGAAGCACUGAAAGCACAGUGGUCAUAUGCAGUGCAAAGACAGGUGAAAAGUGUGAUCUACAUUGUUUAUGAGAGAUGAUGUAUCUUAAUGAAGAGAAAUUGAUUCAAACUUGCCCUGAUACAAAGGAGCAGAAAAUGAAGAGCUGUUUCUAAAGAGCUGAAGCGGGACAGAUGAAAGGAUUGAGAUUGCUGGACCAGACUAAGCCAAGUGCCUAUCCUAGGCUCCCUUAAAAGACUGGAUCACUUGGUUAUGCUGGAUUAAACUGGACUGAAACUAUCACCACUAGUGGCUUUUGUUUUAAGCAUUGACAGCAGUGGGAAAAGGAGAAGCAGGAGAACUGCUGCUAGUCAAGGCAAGGGGAUGUGGACAAAUCAGUGGGUCAGUGCUCACACAGAUCCUUCAAACAGCCAGGACAUCGACAACUCUAGGAGAUCCUUCUGGGUAGGGAUUUGGCAGCAUAUUGCAGCAGGGAGCUGUAAAAGUCUGUCACAGAGCUCAGCUGAGGAGUCCAGCAGAAGACUGUCAGUCACCAUCAUGCACCCAGAAGCAGUCCCAGAAACCACAGGAAAAGGAAGGAUACGUGGCUGAAGGGAAGCUAGAACUCUUGCACUAAGGAGCAGGUGAUUGAUGUAAUCAGUCAGCUGCAAAACCUGAUGAAGAACAGCAAGAAAGCCAAGGUGGACUCACCUCUUUUCUCAGUUGGGAUAGAAGCAUCUGAAUACGCACCUCCAACUGGACAAUGAAGGGAAAUGAGCAAAGUUCGUUAAGUUGUGAAUAUCCAUGUGUGUAAAUUCAUUUUUAUAUGCAGUUAUUCCUUGUUUUCUGAAAUAAUAUCCACACUUUAGAUUCAAAUAAUAUUGAACAAGAAGAAAGACCUUGCCAUUUUCUGGGGUUAGCAUGGAAAUGAAUGACAUUAAAAAGGUGUUUUCUGGAGUGACAAGGGUAGGGAGAAGGCAAUUCAGAAGUAGAACUUCAUCACAUUAAUAUGAUACUGUAGAGGCAGAACCUUCAUUGUAACAAGUUGUCAAUAAUGGCUAGAUGCUUAUAUAGAUGACCUAAUUGUUAAAUUCCAUGUCUUUAAACACACCAAUUUCACAAAAAGGAUACCAUUGUUUACUGUAGGUAUCCUUUUAUGAAUCAUCUAUCCAUGGGCCUGCAGCCCUCUGCCUGGAGCCUGCUAUAGCACAUUUCCCACAGGGUCACAGUCUCCUCUCAGGCAUCCACCUGCUCCUGCAUGGGCUCCUCCACAGGCUGCAGGUGGAUCUCUGCGUCCCUGUGAUCCUCCAUGGGCUGCAGGUGUCUCACCAUGGUCUGCGUCACAGACUACACAGGAAUCUCAUCUCCCCCUCCUUCUCCACUGACCUUGGGGUCUGAAUAGCUGUUCCUCUCCCAUAUUCUCAUGGCUCUUCGCUGGCUGCAAUUAUAUCUGCCAGCCUUUCUUUUUUACUUCUUUUUCUUAGAUCAGUUAUCCCAGAGGCAUUCCCACAAUUUCUGAUUGGCCCAGCUUUGGCCAGCAGCUUGACUGUCUUGGAGCUGUCUGGCACAGGCUCUGCUGGACAUGGAGGAGGAAGCUUCUGGCAGCUUCUCACAGAAGCCACCCCUGUAUCCCCCCUGCUACCAAAGCUUGGCCAUGCAAACCCAACACAACAGGCUGUAAAUUCUUUGUUGUUCUAUUCUGCUUGUACAGCAGUAAACACAGCGACCAUCCACAUUUGCAGAUACAGUAACUACAGCCAAAAUAAUGGCAAUUCCAUCCAAAUAAAAGUUUAGAUGUUCUGCAGGAAUGUUGAUAGUAGGAAAAAAAAAGUGAUAGACCACAUUAAGCCAAGAAAUUAUUCCAUUUUCAGAGAGCAUGUGGAGAAUGCUUUUUCCACAAGGCAUCCAGCUCUACUCACAAAUUAAAUUUGUUCAAGUGGCAGUCAAACUGCACAUGGUUGCAGUUCACUGUUUUCUGGUGAAUGAAUGUGAUGGGGAUGUCUCCAUCUGCACAAUAAAGAAGUUCACUGGUAUUUAACUCAACCCAAACCCAUCCCUUCACGGAGUUUUCAAUACCUGUUUAGGAACAUGGACAUAAGAAUAAUUUUUAGCAAACACAGGAGAGCCAGAAAGCUUUAGCAAAGAUUCCUUCCUAUUGACAAAGCUAAAUCUACCUGUCACUAGGACAGAGAAGAGUUUAUGGGCGUAGUUCUGUUGGUUAAUCAAACAAACAAUUUGAAACAUGGUAACAGCCCAAGACUAAAGAGAACAGUUUAUUUGUGAACGUAUUUCCACUGAACAUGAUACAAAGAAUUAUUCUUCUGACCUAAUGUUACCCAAAUUAAAGGAAGAGUAUUUUGUCCCUUUGUUUAAACCAUGAAUAAAUACAGAAUAAUGAGAAAAUUAUGCAUAAUCCCAGAGCUGCAAAAGGCACUUAAAAAAAAUUCUAGUAGCUUCUCCCCCUCCCUCUUCUUGAGUCACUGUCACCUGCCUCAAAGCUGCAUCUGGAAAAAGGAUGGAGGUGUAGUCUCCUGAAAGGGCUUGUUUUGCCAAAGUUGGCAUGGGAGCACUGGGCAAGAGUUCAAUCCCAGCAUCAGUUUAGGAUUACGUAAAGUCAAUUCUCUUCAUUGUUUCUGCUGAUCUUUAAGCUGUUAGAAAAGAGUCAGUGUGACUUGAUUCCUUUGAAUGGAAAAUAGCACAAUGGUUCCAUGGUGGAAAUGGUUGUGCUGAUUAGGAAAGCAGUUUUCCGUCACGAAAGCAAACAUGUGGCCACACUUCCAUGCAAGUAUGGAAUGCCAUGUGGUUACUUUUUAUGCAGCCAAAACAAUACCCUCAACUCUUGCUUGACAUGGAGGAUUUUAUGUAUGAUGUGGACUCCAGAGCUGUUUGAAGACCAGGGUUCUGGAAAAGUCAUCAAAAGCUGUCUGCUUUCCUCUGGAUUUUGCCUUGAAAAUGACUGACAUUUUAAAGUAAUUCUAUUCAUUUCUAUCGUUUCACCAACUCAUACAAGCAAAUCCUCCUUUCCUCCUAAUAGCUGAACCAGGUUGUCUUGAAAUAAUAAAAUCUAACAAAGGAAGCGCAGUAAAUUAUUUUGGGGGCAUCGGUACAGGGGAAUCAAGGAUCUAUCUCAGCUCCUGCUCCUAAUGGCAUGCUUUCCAUCAUCUGUAAAUUGCAAUACUCCAUGGAGUGAUGUUCACAGGCUGUGCUGGAGGAAGAAAGGCACAUUAUUUGGUAUCUUGUACCAAAAGCAGGUGAGGAGCAUGCAAAGGGUAUGGCUGGUAUUAAUGUGUGGAUGCCACAUUGCAGCAGGAGCCAUGCCAGCUCAUGAAGGGCAGGUCUUACAGCUCUCAUCUUUGCUGCCUCAUUAAAUCUGUGUAGCUGCCCAAAAUAGGGUUUCAGUUGAGGGCAUCAUGAUGCUUACUCCUCCUUUCUGACCCAUCUUAUGUUGUAAUGAGCCUAACUCUCUUUCUCAUUUCCCAUUAUUUAUAAAAUUUGCAGAAAGUUAAGUACCUUUGCAGCACACCUGCAGUCCAGACAAGACAGCUUCAAGUCAGACAGGGAUCACAAAGAAAGAGCUGUUAUACAGAGCACUCAUGUAAGCUUGUAUUUCUCCAAGAAGCCAAGCUAAGGUUGAAAAAUCCCAAGUGUUUCAGGCUGUUCACACUGGACUUUUUUUUUUUUAAUGAUAUAGCUGCCUAAUAUAAUUUUUUGCUAAGUUAAAACACUGAUCAAUUGAAAAUGAAAUAUUUAAGGGGGCUUUUUGGGAGAUACUUUAACAAGUAAAAUCACAUCUGCUUCAAAACCAGAAGCUUAAAUUCUUGGAAAAAGUACCCACAAACAUGUUUCAGGUUUUUUUUUUGUGUAACACAACUCUUUGACUUCAGCUGAUGGAUUCAAAUGCAGACUGCUUACAUUAGAUCCAACUUCACUAAUAGUUUCCAUUCUCCCUGAACGCACUUUCUGGCAAAACAAUUCCCUGCAGCUCUGUCGUCUCCAAACACUUCAGUGUCAUCACUCUCACAAGCCAAGUGUAUGAAAACAUAACAUAAAUGAUAGCUAAACACAAAGAAGGAACAAAGCUGCAUAAAGUUGUAGAGGAGAUUAGGAAUCUCAAUUAGUUUAUUUCUAAAUUCAUUCAGAUUGGAAAAUUUAGGAAGGGUGGUUCUUACGUGCCUUCAUGAGUGUGACAACGAAUUAUUAAUUUGAGGACUGAGAGAGGCUUUUCCUCCCUGCUCUUGCCACGGUUGUAUUCUGGCAUUGAGAAAUUCCCAUGUGUUCCAUUUGUGACAGCAACCAUAGAGACUAACUCCUGUCUCCUUGUGUCCUGCUGCAGCUGAUGAAGCUUGGUGGUGCCAGCAGAGCAUCAGGAGCUUCUCACUGGUCCCGUGCAGCCAGUGCAGCAGGCAACAGGGAAAGCUCAGUGCCCGGGGAAGAAACAUGCAAGUUCAUGACACAAAGCCUGGCCCACAGGCAGCAAGCAGACAAGCUUCUACUUACUGCAAGGUAAAUCUUUUAUCUCACCCCGCUGUUGAGCCAGAAGGGCUGGAGCAGAACUGUGGUAGUGUGGGGGGAGAAAUGGCUGAAGAAAGUGCAGGGGAUGCAAAAACCCUCCUCCUGUGCUCAUUCCACCACAAGAAAGACAGACAGCUGAGAGUGAGCUUUUCUUCUUCCUCACAAGCUAGAAACUGAAGAACAAUUACCAAAUUGUUCAAUUGUUCAAUUCCAAAUUGUACCAAAUCAUAGUUUUGCAUCUACUGACACAGAAUGCUGUACAUUAGAAACAUUCUCUUUCCCCAUUUCUUUCACCCCCUCCACUCCCCGUCCAAGCUUUUGGCUGCUCCAAACCUUCUGAGGUUUGACCUGAGGACAGUCCAGCAACAGUUUUCUGCAUCAUAGCAGAUCUAGAGUAGCAUAAAAUUUCCUUCAAAGUGUGAAGUCAAAAGAUAAGCCAGUCCAAGAUGAGAAAGAAGGCACGGAUGUGCUGUCUGCUUUUUAGUUGUUUUCAGCUAUUAUUUCAACUAUUAAUUCAUUGUGUAAGAGGAGGGACUAUGGCAACAAUUCAUGUUUCAUGCAGAUCACCAUUGCAGAAAUGGUCCCCAUGCAAUUUUGUAUUCUCAGUGCAUCUGGAUGCGUUGCAAGUGAAAUCAGUCAUUUUGAAAAAUUACUACAAUUUUCAUUAAUUUUGAAGUAAUUUUUGAGUCAUCUAGUUAGCAUAAUGAGUAAAAGUAACAGACUUUCAGUGAACUGAACAGCCUUCUUGCUUGGUUUUUAUCCAGUUUUUUUAUGAAACUCCUAAAAAUUUCAAGCAACUCCUGCAAUAUCUGGAUAACUACACCCACAGCACCAUGAAACAUGGCAUUAUUAUGCUUUUAUGGAGAAAAGUGACUGUCCUGGACUGAAAGAGUCCCAGACUAGGCAUGACUCAUGUCAACCCCUAUGGACACACCAUGAUCGAGCCAGGGCUCCAUGCAAGGCUUUUCAGGCAUUUUCUCAGAGAAGAGCGUUGUGUCAAAUGUCGCUGGACACUUGGCACACAGAAGGAGAAAACAAACAGAUGCAAACAUUCAACAAGGAAGUCAAAGUGUAACAGACAAAGUCACAGUAGUCUGAGUGGGGAAGAUAAGCCCUGGCUCCCCUUCAGUCGCCUGUCAACAGGACUGCUCCUAUCUCCAGCACUUGGCCUCAGGAGCAGAUUUUCCCUUUGCAGUAUCUGUCCCCCAUGCAUGUGCUGCUUCCCACACAUGCUGGGCACACUGCUCCUUAUCCCGGGCUUGGGGACAUGCUCCCUCUACUUGACUCCUUCUGAAAUCCUCCUGCUGGCCCUUUUCUUUUCUCCUACCUAUCUCUGCCUUUAUAGUUAUUUCUUUCAACUUGUUUGUGAAGUAAAAACAGAAAUUUAUAAUUUCCGUCACACAAUCCUGUAGCUUCUAGGUUAGUUUUCACACUAGGUGGUGCUUCUGCAGGUUAAGGCCUCUCCACCCACUUUCUGCCCCAGUCCUCCACCUUCUCCCAUCUUUCCUCAUCUUUCCUUACCUCAUUCAAGCUAUGGAGACAAGAGUCCAAUUAUAAUUCUUACUUUCUCUUUCAACUGGAUUUAAACUGCUUACACAUCUUUCUUGCACCAAUAACUUAUAUAUAAGAAACUUAUGCGUAUAUAUUUACAUAUUAACUAAUGCUCAAAGGUGACUUCGGUCAGGCUGUUGUGGACUCUCUAGCUUCUUCCACACCCCCAGGUUUCCAUUCUCAGAGUUUGGAACGGGACAAGACUCUCUGGAGUCUCAGGGGCUGAUGAUGGUUGCUCAUGUUGUGUGUUUUAUUGCCUCAGGGAAGUCUCGAUGUGCUCAGCCUGUCACUUGCCCACUCUGACACUUGCAGCCCCCACACAGUGCCAGCAUCCCUGCCUGACUGCCAGGGGGCUCAGGCAGCUCCAGCAACAGGCACAGCUCCCAUAAAGGGGAGACAGGAGGGAACUGCCUCUUCCCAGUGAGAUCAUACCUCCAUGUUGGACCCUCUAGAUCAGGGAGUGCAUCCUGGCUCACAUCCUGCAGCCAGGGGAAGACAGAGGCUUUCCCCACUGCUGCAGCUGAAGCCACUGGAAAGAAGGUGCAGUGCUGCCCUGGGGUGAAGGAGGCACAUGCAAAUUGGCUUCUGGUGCUCAGCUGAGUUGCAGCAGAGAUAAUGGAGAGGGUUUUAAAGCUUUCCUCAAAUCCUCUCUCUCCUUAGGGAAAUCUACAUGUAGUUCAUCUGUGCCUACAGAUUCAGACUUCACAGCAGCAUGCACCAAGUUCUGAGAGCUAAUUGUAUAUAGCUAUAUCUGUUGAUUAGCUAGGCUGCUCUCCGAAUUUGAAAUGUAACCAUCCAAGCAAAUGGUUGGAUGCAUUGCAGAGGCUCCUGCUCCACAUGCCAGCAGUUUCCUUGAGGGCUUCAUGUAGCUCUGGAGGUAUGCAAAAGAUAAAUGCAGCAGAUCAGCAUAUUCUUAGUUUACCUUUUUUUCCCUUUUCACCUUGCCUAUUUCCUUUUUAACAUUUUAUGAUCAAGUAAUUAGUGUUAGUUGCAGUGGAUUCUUUACCUGCAGUUUGUUUGCUUAACUGAAAGAGCUCUGUUUAUUCUCAAAGCCAAUCCAGAGCAAUGCACUAACAAACCAGAGACAAGGAUGCAUGUGGUUUUAUUUACCCUCUAAUACUACUUCACUUUUCAUAUAUUGUUUCAUGCAUCAGGUAUAGUAACUGAAAAGUGUAUUUAUUAGUCUAUCUGAACAGUAGAGCAGCCUGGAGAAAAAAACAUUUAUUUCUUUUAUGUGACAGCUAGUUCUGAAAGCAAUAAAACCCACAUAUUGAUAAAAAGUAGGAGGAGCAGAUAACAUUUUUAAUUAUAUUUCAGAAGUCUCCCAGGCAUCCUGCCCUGCGGAGGUAGUGACUUGUAUCAGGGGCCCAUUAAAGGAGGAUCUGUUCAGAGCAGCACCCCCAUAGAGCUGUGUACCAGUCACUUCUUCUGGAAGCUUUGGUAGUUUCUGGAAGUAGUUGUUUCAGCUUUAAUAACCAACAGAUUAAAAAAACUGAGAGAGGCAGAGUUGUGGAAUGAAGACCCAUGUCACUAUAUGUAGGCAGUAAACACCUCAGUAGCUUCUGAUCCCUUUUUUCACUUCUUCUAUUCUCCUUUUCUAUUUCUGAAUAUUGCCUGUCUUGAUGUUAUGAAAAUAUUUGUUAUUCCACACAUAGGGUUUCUUCCUCCAAAAUUGGGUUCAUGCAGUCUUUUGUUUUUCAGUUUAUAUGAUCUUAGAAACAUAUUUCUCAAGAGAGUAGAGAAGGUCUUAUGAUAUUACAAAGUAGCUUAAGAAAGAUAGUAGCUAUUUCCAAACAAGCAGCAAAUUAUAAUGGUUGUGCUGGAUUGAAAAAUUUCUUUCAUAUUUCAUUAAACACCACAGGACUGAAUCAGCUGAGUCACCUCAAGUGACUCUUCUCAGAAAAGAUAAGUGGCCACUUAUUUCCCAUUACCACAUAAAGUGUUUCUCAAAUGUACCUGAAAGUUAUAAACAAAGACAAAGGACAAUGAACAGUUUUCUUCUUUUUUUUUUUUUUUUCUUCAGAUGGGAUAAAGUUGCAAUUGUUAGUGCUGUAAAACAAACUGGAAGUGAGUGUCUAAAAUAAAAAUGGCUUUCAAGAAAAAUUAAA